CUCCCACCCUCUCUUUUAUAUUGAAGGCUCCCUCAAUUCCCACUCACCCCUCUCCACAAUAGUGAGUGAGAGAGAGAGAGAGAGAGAGAUUACAUGAGCGAAUUGGGUUGGUUUCAUAUGCUGCAAUUAAGUACUAGAGGAGGCAUCCAAAGGGAUCGCAUUGAUCCUAAGCUAGCAAAGCCUUCUUGAUCAUAUCGAUCCCUAAAUAGUUUCGGAUCAUGCUAUCCCUUUGGAUUUCUCCUUUGGAAGCUUCAAACUUCUAUGUCAUGCAUCGAGCUAGAACUACAUAUAUCCAAGGAGUUGACCCAACUCUCUAUGAUCCAAUUGACUGUUGUUCCGGGUUUGAUCUUUCAACAAUUUCUGAGUUAAUUAAAUUCGGGUUAGGGAGAGAUCGAUGAGGACAGACCUACAAGAGAUAUAUGGAUGACGAGAGGCGGAUGGGGAUCUAGAGAUGUGCAUCACCGGUGACCUUGGUUGGCUCCGAUUAUGAGAUGGGAUGGAGAUGGGAGGAUAGAGGGUGGAAGCUGUCGGUGGUUAUGUGAUAGGCAUGAUUGAUCUUUUAACAAUUUCUGAGUUACCUUAGGGUUAGGAUCGGCCUUAAAGUAGACUUGCAUGCAUUUGUUUCUUUCACAUCCUGGAUGUGAAAUCAACGAUUUUCACAUAAAUGAGAAGAGAGAUUUUGAAUUCAGAUCGAGUCUCAUCAACCCAGAAAGCAAGAAGAGUUCUAAUCAAACAACAGUUAGUUGGCAACUCACGCAUAUGAGCUCUAAGAGAAACUAUGUAGUUACUUUUUGACUAAAUGUAGUGGUGGAGACUAUAAGCUAGUUGUGCAUUAUUAAAUCUAUAUGUGUUAACGUUGAAUUUGUCAAUAGUGUAUAAAGCAUAAAGGAAAUCCUUGGUUUCAGAAGCUUCCCAGAUCUAUGCAAAGUUUGAAAAUAAUCAGUAAAAUUUUCGACUUUCCAGUAGAAUAAUGCUUAGUCUACACUGAUUAUUGCAUGUUUUUGUAUGUUCAUCAUCAUAGCUAAAUAGUAAGAGUCUAAUUUCAAAACGAAUAAAAAUUGAAUUUGCACAUCACCUAUAGCCAUUAUCAAUAUGGGGUCCAAGUUAAAGAAUUGUUGGACACCAAAGUGUACAAAUUAUCUUUCAACUGUAAAAUUAUGUACCCCUAAUGUCUCCCUCUUGCCCUACACGAACUUUGCAAAGGACACAUAAACUGCCAAAAUGAAACCCACACAUAUCAAAUAUUUUCAAGCUCAUGAGGAAUUGGAUGCUCCUUGCCCACAAACUAAGGGGACCUAACUUCUUGACUUGUCUCCAAAUUCAAACCCCCCCCCCCACUCCUAUUUUGUUGUCUAAUUUUCUCUUUAAUACCGCACUUUGUGAGACUCGACUGUCAGCCAUGUAUUUGAGAUUCCAGAGGAUUUGAUUUUCUUUCUUUGCCUCAAUGUUUGGGGGAUUCGGUUGAGAGAUCGAUGUGCAUAAAAUUGACCAUCAUCUUAAGACCUAAGUCUAUUUUUUUUGGAUGAGAGAAAAGAUACAGAGAAAACCCUACAAACAAAAGCUCUUAGGACAGCCCUGCCCCUGUUGAUCUUAAUGGAAAGCGAUAGAGGGAGAUCGGUGGAGGACAUGACUCAGUUUCUUUCAGAGAAACAAGAGUGACCAAGAGCAGCAAUGUGAUUUGCUACAAUUCCAUCACUUGUAUCAUAUAUUCACUUCUAAUAUUAUUCACCAAUUUUGGAUUGAACUGUGUUGAUUGUAGAUCAUCUGAGCUUCAGAUUAUUAUUCGAUUUUUAAUUUUUUGGUAUAAUUUAUAAAUUAAAUCGUUCAGAAAAAAAUUUAACAUCAUAGUAUUGAUAUUUUAUGAGGGCUUCCAGCUUCCUUACGUCGCUCGUCCGGCAGUGGCUCGUGAACACCGACGACGGAGGCGGCGCAGACUGGGUGGUUCUAUGCGGUGGCCGGUGGCGGUAACAAAUGCUUCAUUGAUGGGGUCAAGUAGCAGCGUGGAUGCAGGGGAUCCUAACCCGAUUUUGGUUUUUUGGGUCUGGAUGCUCUUUUCAGGUCGUUGUUUUGUCCUCAAGUCGGUGGAGGCUGCGUGGCAAGUCAUGGCUGCGGGUCGUGGCGGUGGAGGUUGCACGGUGAGUGAGUCGUGGAGGCGGUGUGAGACAGGUUGCACAGUGUGGAGAUUGGAAUGAAGCCUUUGGGCCUUGGGCCUCUAAUUUAGUUUACUCUGUUUUUUCUAAUAUUUCCUUACUUAUCUAGGGGAGAUAUGCUUGUUAGUUCUUAAGGAGCGCUAAGAGAAAAAUUCAGCUACCGUCCCCAAACUAUUCUGUCAAGGUCAAUUUGAUACCCGAACUCUCAAAAGUA
This is a long non-coding RNA of Rosa rugosa (rugosa rose), 2364 nucleotides long. RefSeq lists it as uncharacterized. The transcript is spliced from 2 exons. Lineage: Eukaryota; Viridiplantae; Streptophyta; Magnoliopsida; Rosales; Rosaceae. The record is from RefSeq and is a predicted model, not a curated record.